UUGUCCCUUGCAGCUGCUUGAAAGAAGUCCUUUUCUUCCGGAUCGCUUCUUUCCGACCAGCUGGACUUUUAUGUACCUCCAACGAAGAUGGAUCUCUUUCCGUGACGUAUCCUUCUUCUCUUACCCCAGCGACGGUGACCACCACAGAGUGGCUAGGCCUGGAGCGAUUGUUCA
Molecule: long non-coding RNA, 174 nt
Organism: Bufo bufo (common toad)
Lineage: Eukaryota; Metazoa; Chordata; Amphibia; Anura; Bufonidae
Exons: 4
Source: RefSeq, a predicted model, not a curated record